Long non-coding RNA from Hyalella azteca, 663 nucleotides. RefSeq lists it as uncharacterized. The record is from RefSeq and is a predicted model, not a curated record. The transcript has 3 exons. Lineage: Eukaryota; Metazoa; Arthropoda; Malacostraca; Amphipoda; Hyalellidae.
AGCAGUAUAGCUGUCGAUUAUCCUUGUUUCUCGUGUGAUAAUUACCCAUUUUUCUCUACAUUUCCUUGCAAACCGUCUGCAGAUUUGCUAUACAUUUAAAAAUGUCUUCAACAAGUUUAAUCUCGUCAUAUCACUGCAGUUUGUGCUUUUUGAAACUGAAUUUCGCGAAGUUAUCGUUGCUCUUCAAAUAUUCGAGACUUCGAGUUAGCAUUGCCACUUGCCGAAUUUUCAUGUUCGAACUUUCGAAGUGAGGUCGAGGGUUGUGUGAACGUUACAACUCUAAGAAACCAUGUAUAUAACAUCAACACACCAAAAUUUUUUCAAAAAGAAAGUGCGGAAAACAAAGAACCAUAAGACGUUGAGCUGUGUGAACUGUGAACAGAUGGCCGCGAAGUUCAAAGUGGAUUGUUGCUGCAGCCUCAGUUAUAUACAUCUUGUGGCAUUUAAAAACAAUGUCCAAGUGAAGAGUCUUCAAAAACAAAAUUUUUUCAAGUUAAUUGGGUUAAAAGUCCUGUGGUCAAGUCAAAAGGAACAAGUCUUUUCCAUUAAACAGAGGAACUUGACGGCAUGUUCAGGCAAGAAGAGGCCAAAUGAAGAGAAUCAGAUGGCAAAAUGGCAUCCAAAAGGGAAUUUUUGAUGAUGAACUUGAGGGCUUAUAGCAGA